Molecule: long non-coding RNA, 3196 nt
Filed under: Homo sapiens (human)
Lineage: Eukaryota; Metazoa; Chordata; Mammalia; Primates; Hominidae
Description: HSALNT0402582
Source: RNAcentral
AUACGGGGUUCGCCAUCCCGAGAGGGGAGAACAGACUGUGAAACCGGCAGGACCGGCCUCCCCACGGUUAGCUCCGAGUCUCCCGCAGCUUGGCCCUCAGUCCCCUGUGGCUGCAAGAUGGCCGCUGGGCCAGCAGCGAGGACCCCCACGUCCCGUCCGGCCCAUCCGGUCCUGUCCCUGGGCAGCGCCCUGCUCUGCGCCCACAGCCAUGAGUAUUUCCCAAAUUGUUCAGGGAGGCCAGAUGGGUCAUCAGGGAAAAACCGCGAGUGGGUGUUUGCGUGGGAGGAGCUGCGGCCCGUGGGGUCCACAGUCUCUCGUGUUAAAAAUUAACGGGAGUCUAUGUUAAAAGGUUCAUCAGUUUAUCUGAACAAAGAGUGAUUGGUGAAAUGGAAAGCACCCAGCCAUGAUUUCUGGUCCACCAGAGGGGCAUAAAGGAAAGGCUUUCAUAAGAUGCAUGAGAAAGCAACCCAAAUUCAAGAAUUGGUUCCAGUUAUAUGGUAGCCUUAUUUGAACUAUCCAGAUGGAAAUGUCCUGGUUACAUAUUCAGAGGUUAAUUGCAUGUUUGUCAUGGGUUAAACCUGCAUUUUGCUUCAGGCUAAGAUAGUGUUUUAUAGGAAAUAUAUUUGAGUUAGGUUUUAGAUUUUUUUUUGUUUGUUUUUUGUUUUUUACCUAUGAACACAGGGCACUAGAGCCACUUUAGACUAAUUUUCUGAUCUUUAAUUAUUUUAACACUCCAGAGGAGGACUGGUUUUCUCCUGUGUUUUUUUAAUGUAUGGCAAGUGGAACCUCUAAUCGACCACCCUGUUUUUCAUCCUAACUCAGGCUUGCAGUAAAAUUAUCAGUUCCCACUUUCUUUGCUGCAUUCUCAAACGCAACACAUGAGACCAGCUUUCCCUUGCCAAUUUACAAUGCUGUUAACUAUAUGUCCUUUAUUAUACAUUUCGUUAAAGUUUUCUAUUAUUGGGUUUCUUUCUACUUCUCCCUACAGUUCUGGCAAUAUUUGCUUUUUAUAUUUAGAAGCCUCCCUUUUGGGUGCAUAAAUAUAUAAAGCUAUAUUCUCUUGAGAAAUUAACCUCUAUUAUUGUAUGGUAAACUCAUUUCAUUCUUGUGAGAGACAUUGCUAGAAAGUCUAUUUUGUCUAAUUUAAGCAUUACCAUUUCACUCCUUUGGUUAUUAUUUGCAUGGAAUAUCAUUUUCUAUCCUUUCACUUUUAGCCUAUGCUCUUAAUUCAUAAUUGAGUCUCUUGUAAGCAGCAUAUUAUGAGGUUUAAAAGAUUAAUUUAUCCACUCUGUCUGCUUUAGUCUCUUUUGGCUGCUAUAACAGAAUAUCACACACUGGUAAUUAAUAAAGAAUAGAAUUUUAUUUGACUCAUGAUUCUGGAGGCUGGGAAGCCAAAACAACAUUAUACUGGUAUAUGUUGAAGGUCUAGUUGCUGGAUAAUAACAUACACAAAGAUGUGAGGGAGAGAGAGCUUUUUUUUUUAAAUAUAUAACAGAUCCAUUCUUGUUAUAAUUAGCCCAUUCCCAUAAUAAGAACGUUAAUCCAUUCAUGAGGGCAGAGUGCUUAUAGCUUAAUUAAUUUUUAAAGGUUCCACCUGUUAAUUCUAACAUGUUGGCUAUUAAAUUUUAUCCUAAAUUUUGGAGAUGACAUUCAGUGUACAGCAGUAUCUGUUUAGUAGAUACUUUAAUCUUUUUAUUUGUAAGGUAGUGAUAGGUAAGCAGUUACUAUUGUACAUUUGUAGUUUUCUGUCCAUUUUAAGUUUGCUUCUUUUUUUUCUGGUUCUGUCUUUCCUGUGGUAUUGUUCAUUUUUGUUGAGACAAAGUUAUGCUUUCUUGCUCAGACUGAAGUGCAGUGGCAUAUCACAGCUCACUGUAGCCUUAACCUCCUGGGCUCAAAUAAUCGUCCCACCUUAGCCACCCAAGUAGCUUGGACUGCAGACAUGUACCACAACACCCAAGGAGAUUUGAUUCUUCCACCUUGGCCUCCCAAAGUGUUGGAAUUAUAAGCAGGAGACACCAUAUCCAAUGUGUAAUUUUUGUUGUUUGUGUAUGCUUUAAUUACUUUCUCUUUUUCUUUACUAUUUUUUUUUCCUACUGGUUAUCAUGAGACUUAUGUAAAACAUCUUGUAUUUUAAUAGUCUAGUUUAAGAUGAUAACAAUUUAUAGUAUUCUGAAAUUCAGUAUGUAUUUACCAUUUUAGUGACAUUUAUACUUUAGUAUUUUUCAUAUUGUUAGUUAGCAUUUCAUCAUAUCAAUGUGAAGAUUUCUUCCAGACCAUGGCUGGAGAAGGAAAGAAGGUGUGUUUUGCCUGAUUCAGGGACUAUAGAGAGAACCAAGUUCUGCAGGCCUGUCAUCUAAGUCUCAGGGCGGGGAGACCUUCCUUCCCCACGGGUUUGAGGCUAUGGCUAAGUGGUGAGCCUUGGUGAGACGCAGAAAGGAUCCAUCCCAGGCACUUGGCUAGAGCCCCUGAACUUUGACUCACCCACAGCCUCAGAGAACCUACAACCCAUAUUUAUACAUAUCCCUCCUAAGAACAGGCUGACUUCAAGAUGAAACAUUAUCUUAUCUGGGAUCUGAUUUUGCUACCCUCCAUCCUGUGCUUCCUUUCCAACCUUCUUUGUAAACUUAUUUUCUCCUCCCUAUGAAAUAAAACCCUUUUCCACCUAACCUUUGAGAUCCUCAAAGAUCUAAUCAUUUGUACUUUUUCCUUGUUACAACACUUCUUAAGUAACUUCUUAGACAAAGUCUAUAAACAGUCUCAGGACAAUAACAACUCCAUUCUAGAAAGAAUAUCCCAACUUUUCUUCAAUCUCAACCCCAACUGCAUCUGCCUGUCAACUUCCAGCUUACCAAAGCUCUGUAUCUUCUGACAGUGACAAAGGCUCCUUCUAUGGUUGGUGUGAGCAGACUUUGAUGUCUGCAGGGCAGACACCCAGGAAUAAUCAACUGGGCCUUCAGUGGCCCCCUUUUGCAGGGUCAACGUUAGCCUUAGCUUUUAGUCAACGGUCUAAGACUUCUACUUACCAGUUAAAGUCAUUCAAUUAGUUUUCAAUUUAAAAAAUACUUCAUGUUUGAAGAAUCCAGCAAAAAUCAUUCAAAUCUAAGGUUUAAAAGAGAGGAAAUUAUGGUCGGGCAUGGUGGCUCAUGCCUGUAAUCCCUGCAUUUUGGGAGGCUGAGGCGGGCAGAUUACCUGAGGU